Molecule: long non-coding RNA, 433 nt
Filed under: Anser brachyrhynchus (Pink-footed goose)
Lineage: Eukaryota; Metazoa; Chordata; Aves; Anseriformes; Anatidae
Description: lncRNA (ENSABRG00000004712.1)
Source: RNAcentral
AGCACCUGAAACUUAAAAUAAAAUAAAAAUAAAUUCUUAGGAUCAAGUCCCACCCCAGCGGCUGGCAACUGCAAUUUUGGCAUCCAUUUCAAUGGAGACAAUAUUGUCACCUAUGGAGGUUUCACUCAGAAUAGAACCAGAUUCUGAGGGUGGGGAAGAUCCAAGGAGAGACCAUCAGGAGCAGUUUCCAAGGAGACUACCUCCUUGUGGGCUGAAUCUUCAGCAGGUGCAUAUUAGCUCAUUUCCAGCGAAGUCUGCAGGCAGAAAGACAACUUUUCACAGACCUGUCUUACCACCUACUUCCUGUUUUAUUCUUUCAUGGAUGCAACUUUCCCUGCAGGAAGAAGGGAACAGUUUUCUCCAUGUACCUGUUGGGGGAGAGAAACAAGGCUGCUUCAACCAUCAAUCUGUGGGACCUCAGAUCUCAGCCUGA